This is a microRNA precursor of Ciona intestinalis (vase tunicate), 86 nucleotides long. The record is from Ensembl. Lineage: Eukaryota; Metazoa; Chordata; Ascidiacea; Phlebobranchia; Cionidae.
AAGCUCUUCCUCAAAAUUUAUUAGUGCUGAUAUACUUCUUAUCAAAUAAUAUGUUGGUACAAAAAAUAAAUUUGGUAGAAGAGCUU